GAUGAACGCCGGCGGCGUGCCUAAUACAUGCAAGUCGAGCGAACAGACGAGGAGCUUGCUCCUCUGACGUUAGCGGCGGACGGGUGAGUAACACGUGGAUAACCUACCUAUAAGACUGGGAUAACUUCGGGAAACCGGAGCUAAUACCGGAUAAUAUAUUGAACAGUAUGGUUCAAUAGUAAAAGACGGUGUUGCUGUCAUUUAUAGAUGGAUCCGCGCCGCAUUAGCUUGUUGGUAAGGUAACGGCUUACCAAGGCAACGAUGCGUAACCGACAUCAGCGGGAGAUCGGCCACACUGGAUCUGAGACACGGUCCAGACUCCUACGGGCGGCAGCGGUAGGGAAUCUUCCGCAAUGGGCGGGAUCCUGACGUAGCAACGCCGCGUGAGUGAUGAGGGUCUUCGGAUCGUAAAACUCUGUUAUUAGGUAAGACCAAAUGUGUACGUAACUAUGCACGUCAUGACGGUACCUAGUCAGAAAGCCCCGGCUAACUACGUG
This 497-nucleotide ribosomal RNA is filed under the name uncultured bacterium. RNAcentral's name for it is "partial 16S ribosomal RNA". It matches the Rfam family "Bacterial small subunit ribosomal RNA", at positions 28 to 507 of the family's 1533-position model. The record is from RNAcentral.